UCCUUUGUGGCUGAGUGGUCAAUGUCAUGGUCUAUAGAUCGCAGGGACCCUGGUUCAAGCCCUGCCGGAAGCA
RNAcentral lists this transfer RNA (73 nucleotides) under Anguilla anguilla (European eel). RNAcentral's name for it is "tRNA-OTHER". The record is from RNAcentral. Lineage: Eukaryota; Metazoa; Chordata; Actinopteri; Anguilliformes; Anguillidae.